This 485-nucleotide ribosomal RNA is filed under the name Vibrio sp. RNAcentral's name for it is "bacterial SSU rRNA". It matches the Rfam family "Bacterial small subunit ribosomal RNA", at positions 848 to 1332 of the family's 1533-position model. The record is from RNAcentral. Lineage: Bacteria; Pseudomonadati; Pseudomonadota; Gammaproteobacteria; Vibrionales; Vibrionaceae.
GGAGCUAACGCGUUAAGUAGACCGCCUGGGGAGUACGGUCGCAAGAUUAAAACUCAAAUGAAUUGACGGGGGCCCGCACAAGCGGUGGAGCAUGUGGUUUAAUUCGAUGCAACGCGAAGAACCUUACCUACUCUUGACAUCCAGAGAAGCCAGCGGAGACGCAGGUGUGCCUUCGGGAACUCUGAGACAGGUGCUGCAUGGCUGUCGUCAGCUCGUGUUGUGAAAUGUUGGGUUAAGUCCCGCAACGAGCGCAACCCUUAUCCUUGUUUGCCAGCGAGUAAUGUCGGGAACUCCAGGGAGACUGCCGGUGAUAAACCGGAGGAAGGUGGGGACGACGUCAAGUCAUCAUGGCCCUUACGAGUAGGGCUACACACGUGCUACAAUGGCGCAUACAGAGGGCAGCAAGCUAGCGAUAGUGAGCGAAUCCCAAAAAGUGCGUCGUAGUCCGGAUUGGAGUCUGCAACUCGACUCCAUGAAGUCGGAAU